CAAACAUCUCUGCAAGUCAAAAGUUGCGACUGUUAUGAUUGUCUUUGAGUGUACUCCGUUAGCACGUUGACGUUGUUAGUGACUUGAUGAGGAAACAAAUAUUUUUGUGUUGCUUGAAGAGCUGUGUUGUAGGUGUUUUAGGAGAUGCUACAUGAUAAGUAUGAAUACCGCCGCCAUAAAGAGUUCCGACGCAGCAAACAUCUCGCAUGUUUGAUUCGGUGUUGCAGUAAGACCACACCCUUGUUUAAUGGAUGCUGGUAUUGCAUUGAUGUUCGUGCGGAGAUGGAAAUCUAAAUAAGAGAGAUUAGUUUCCUACUGAUGUUGAAGGAUGUAGUUCAUGGUUUCCCAAAGCUUUCCCAUAACAGCUAAUUUAUUAUAGUUACAAUCAGCGUGGUCUUCAAUCCAGUGAGUACUGCUGAACGAGAGGGAAGCUUAAAUCAGAUGGAUUUGUUUCACGCUGAUGCUAAAGGCAGAAGUUCCUUGUUUCCAGAUGAUCGUCCCAAUGAGCUAAAAUAUUAAUACUUGGAACCAUCAAUAAGAUGUCUGUACAUUUUGGUGUUCAUAGAUUAAAAAGAGUAUUUCCUUAUAAA
Molecule: long non-coding RNA, 590 nt
Filed under: Schistocerca americana (American grasshopper)
Lineage: Eukaryota; Metazoa; Arthropoda; Insecta; Orthoptera; Acrididae
Description: uncharacterized LOC124555779, transcript variant X1
Source: RNAcentral